RNAcentral lists this small RNA (81 nucleotides) under Marmota monax (woodchuck). The record is from RNAcentral. Lineage: Eukaryota; Metazoa; Chordata; Mammalia; Rodentia; Sciuridae.
GCCAGGUGCGGUGGUGCAUGCCUGUAAUCCUAGCAGCUCAGGAGGCUGAGGCAGGAGGAUCUUUAGAGAGACCUGGCUUUA